GAAGAAUCCAGAGAUGGAUUUGUGCCUUCGGGAACUGUGAGACAGGUGCUGCAUGGCUGUCGUCAGCUCGUGUUGUGAAAUGUUGGGUUAAGUCCCGCAACGAGCGCAACCCUUAUCCUUUGUUGCCAGCGAUUAGGUCGGGAACUCAAAGGAGACUGCCAGUGAUAAACUGGAGGAAGGUGGGGAUGACGUCAAGUCAUCAUGGCCCUUACGACCAGGGCUACACACGUGCUACAAUGGCGCAUACAAAGAGAAGCGACCUCGCGAGAGCAAGCGGACCUCAUAAAGUGCGUCGUAGUCCGGAUUGGAGUCUGCAACUCGACUCCAUGAAGUCGGAAUCGCUAGUAAUCGUGGAUCAGAAUGCCACGGUGAAUACGUUCCCGGGCCUUGUACACACCGCCCGUCACACCAUGGGAGUGGGUUGCAAAAGAAGUAGGUAGCUUAACCUUCGGGAGGGCGCUUACCACUUUGUGAUUCAUGACUGGGGUGAAGUCGUAACAAGGUAACCGUAGGGGAACCUGC
This 522-nucleotide ribosomal RNA is filed under the name Salmonella enterica subsp. enterica serovar Senftenberg. RNAcentral's name for it is "bacterial SSU rRNA". It matches the Rfam family "Bacterial small subunit ribosomal RNA", at positions 993 to 1515 of the family's 1533-position model. RNAcentral also lists the same sequence under 7 other names. Lineage: Bacteria; Pseudomonadati; Pseudomonadota; Gammaproteobacteria; Enterobacterales; Enterobacteriaceae. The record is from RNAcentral.